RNAcentral lists this ribosomal RNA (253 nucleotides) under uncultured bacterium. RNAcentral describes it as "partial 16S ribosomal RNA". It matches the Rfam family "Bacterial small subunit ribosomal RNA", at positions 524 to 776 of the family's 1533-position model. The record is from RNAcentral.
UACGGGGGGGGCAAGCGUUGUUCGGAAUUACUGGGCGUAAAGGGCGCGUAGGCGGCCUGCUAAGUCGGACGUGAAAUCUCUCGGCUCAACCGGGGAACUGCGUCCGAUACUGGUGGGCUCGAAUCCGGGAGAGGGAUGUGGAAUUCCAGGUGUAGCGGUGAAAUGCGUAGAUAUCUGGAGGAACACCGGUGGCGAAGGCGGCGUUCUGGACUGCAACUGACACUGAGAAACGAAAGCCAGGGGAGCAAACGGG